UGGGGAAUAUUGGUCAAUGGGCAAAAGCCUGAACCAGCAAUGCCGCGUGAGUGAUGAAGGCCUUCGGGUUGUAAAGCUCUGUCAGGGGGAACGAAAAAAUCGAGUAACGAUCGAUCUUGACGGUACCUCCAAAGGAAGCACCGGCUAACUCUGUGCCAGCAGCCGCGGUAAUACAGAGGGUGCAAGCGUUGUUCGGAAUUACUGGGCGUAAAGCGCGUGUAGGCGGUUUGACAAGUCAGACGUGAAAUCCCUCGGCUUAACCGAGGAACUGCGUCUGAUACUGCCAGACUAGAGUGUCGGAGGGGAUGGUGGAAUUCCCGGUGUAGAGGUGAAAUUCGUAGAUAUCGGGAGGAACACCCGUGGCGAAGGCGACCAUCUGGAAGACAACUGACGCUGAGACGCGAAAGCGUGGGUAGCAAACAGG
Molecule: ribosomal RNA, 424 nt
Filed under: uncultured bacterium
Lineage: Bacteria
Description: bacterial SSU rRNA
Rfam family: Bacterial small subunit ribosomal RNA
Source: RNAcentral